CUCAGUUCGGAUUGGAGUCUGCAACCCGACUCCAUGAAGCUGGAUUCGCUAGUAAUCGCGGAUCAGCAUGCCGCGGUGAAUACGUUCCCGGGCCUUGUACACACCGCCCGUCACACCAUGAGAGUCGGGAACACCCGAAGUCCGUAGUCUAACAGCAAUGGGGGCGCGGCCGAAGGUGGGUUCGAUAAUUGGGGUGAAGUCGUAACAAGGUAGC
This 214-nucleotide ribosomal RNA is filed under the name uncultured bacterium. Its description in RNAcentral is "partial 16S ribosomal RNA". It matches the Rfam family "Bacterial small subunit ribosomal RNA", at positions 1287 to 1500 of the family's 1533-position model. The record is from RNAcentral.